This 520-nucleotide ribosomal RNA is filed under the name uncultured soil bacterium S0137. RNAcentral's name for it is "bacterial SSU rRNA". It matches the Rfam family "Bacterial small subunit ribosomal RNA", at positions 252 to 763 of the family's 1533-position model. The record is from RNAcentral.
GCGGGGUAAAGGCCCAACUUAGGCAACGAUCGGUAGCUGGUCUGAGAGGAUGAUCAGCCACACUGGGACUGAGACACGGCCCAGACUCNUACGGGAGGCAGCAGUGGGGAAUUUUGGACAAUGGGGGCAACCCUGAUCCAGCCAUGCCGCGUGAGUGAAGAAGGCCUUCGGGUUGUAAAGCUCUUUCGGUGGGAACGAAACGGUGGAAGUUAAUACCUUCCACUACUGACGGUACCUACAGAAGAAGCACCGGCUAACUACGUGCCAGCAGCCGCGGUAAUACGUAGGGUGCGAGCGUUAAUCGGAAUUACUGGGCGUAAAGCGUGCGCAGGCGGCUUGCUAAGACAGGUGUGAAAGCCCCGGGCUUAACCUGGGAAUGGCGCUUGUGACUGGCAAGCUGGAGUGUGGCAGAGGGAGGUGGAAUUCCACGUGUAGCAGUGAAAUGCGUAGAGAUGUGGAGGAACACCGAUGGCGAAGGCAGCCUCCUGGGCCAGCACUGACGCUCAUGCACGAAAGCGUG